This is a long non-coding RNA of Oncorhynchus tshawytscha (Chinook salmon), 427 nucleotides long. The record is from Ensembl. Lineage: Eukaryota; Metazoa; Chordata; Actinopteri; Salmoniformes; Salmonidae.
AAAUGCUGAAUACAACAGGUGUAGUAGACCUUACAGUGAAAUGCUGAAUACAACAGGUGUAGGUAGACCUCACAGAGAAAUGCUGAAUACAACAGGUGUAGUAGACCUCACAGUGAAAUGCUGAAUACAACAGGUGUAGUAGACCUCACAGUGAAAUGCUGAAUACAACAGGUGUAGUAGACCUCACAGUGAAAUGCUGAAUACAACAGGUGUAGUAGACCUUACAGUGAAAUGCUGAAUACAACAGGUGUAGUAGACCUCACAGUGAAAUGCUGAAUACAACAGGUGUAGUAGACCUUACAGUGAAAUGCUGAAUACAACAGGUGUAGUAGACCUUACAGUGAAAUGCUGAAUACAACAGGUGUAGUAGACCUUACAGUGAAAUGCUGAAUACAACAGGUGUAGUAGACCUCACAGUGAAAUGCUG